Molecule: ribosomal RNA, 1409 nt
Filed under: uncultured Bacilli bacterium
Lineage: Bacteria; Bacillati; Bacillota; Bacilli
Description: bacterial SSU rRNA
Rfam family: Bacterial small subunit ribosomal RNA
Source: RNAcentral
GGACGAACGCUGGCGGCGUGCCUAAUACAUGCAAGUCGAACGAGCUCUCCCAAAUUGAUUUUAUGCUUGCGUAAAUGAUUUUUGGAUUCGGAGCGAGUGGCGAACUGGUGAGUAACACGUGGGUAACCUGCCCUGAAGCGGGGGAUAACAUUUGGAAACAAGUGCUAAUACCGCAUAAUUAGUUGGAACCGCAUGGUUCCAACUUGAAAGAUGGCUCUGCUAUCACUUUGGGAUGGACCCGCGCCGUAUUAGUUAGUUGGUGAGAUAAAAGCCCACCAAGACGAUGAUACGUAGCCGACCUGAGAGGGUAAUCGGCCACAUUGGGACUGAGACACGGCCCAGACUCCUACGGGAGGCAGCAGUAGGGAAUCUUCCACAAUGGACGAAAGUCUGAUGGAGCAACGCCGCGUGAGUGAUGAAGGUUUUCGGAUCGUAAAACUCUGUUGUUAAAGAAGAACAAGUGUUAGAGUAACUGUUAACACUUUGACGGUAUUUAACCAGAAAGCCACGGCUAACUACGUGCCAGCAGCCGCGGUAAUACGUAGGUGGCAAGCGUUGUCCGGAUUUAUUGGGCGUAAAGCGAGCGCAGGCGGUUUUGUAAGUCUGCUGUGAAAGCCCUCAGCUCAACUGAGGAAGUGCAGUGGAAACUACAAAACUUGAGUACAGAAGAGGAAAGUGGAACUCCAUGUGUAGCGGUGAAAUGCGUAGAUAUAUGGAAGAACACCAGUGGCGAAGGGCGGCUUUCUGGUCUGUUACUGACGCUGAGGCUCGAAAGCAUGGGUAGCGAACAGGAUUAGAUACCCUGGUAGUCCAUGCCGUAAACGAUGAAUACUAGGUGUUGGAGGGUCUCCGCCCUUCAGUGCCGCAGCUAACGCAUUAAGUAUUCCGCCUGGGGAGUACGACCGCAAGGUUGAAACUCAAAGGAAUUGACGGGGGCCCGCACAAGUGGUGGAGCAUGUGGUUUAAUUCGAUGCUACGCGAAGAACCUUACCAGCUCUUGACAUCUUCUGCCAACCCAAGAGAUUGGGCGUUCCCUUCGGGGACAGAAUGACAGGUGGUGCAUGGUUGUCGUCAGCUCGUGUCGUGAGAUGUUGGGUUAAGUCCCGCAACGAGCGCAACCCUUAUUAUUAGUUGCCAGCAUUUAGUUGGGCACUCUAGUGAGACUGCCGGUGAUAAACCGGAGGAAGGUGGGGACGACGUCAAAUCAUCAUGCCCCUUAUGAGCUGGGCUACACACGUGCUACAAUGGAUGGUACAACGAGUCGCGAAACCGCGAGGUCAAGCUAAUCUCUUAAAGCCAUUCUCAGUUCGGAUUGCAGGCUGCAACUCGCCUGCAUGAAGUUGGAAUCACUAGUAAUCGUGGAUCAGCAUGCCACGGUGAAUACGUUCCCGGGCCUUGUACACACCGCC